RNAcentral lists this ribosomal RNA (623 nucleotides) under Hypholoma fasciculare. RNAcentral's name for it is "eukaryotic LSU rRNA". It matches the Rfam family "Eukaryotic large subunit ribosomal RNA", at positions 1 to 613 of the family's 3401-position model. Lineage: Eukaryota; Fungi; Basidiomycota; Agaricomycetes; Agaricales; Strophariaceae. The record is from RNAcentral.
UGACCUCAAAUCAGGUAGGACUACCCGCUGAACUUAAGCAUAUCAAUAAGCGGAGGAAAAGAAACUAACAAGGAUUCCCCUAGUAACUGCGAGUGAAGCGGGAAAAGCUCAAAUUUAAAAUCUGGCAGUCUUUGGCUGUCCGAGUUGUAAUCUAGAGAAGUGUUAUCCGCGCUGGACCGUGUACAAGUCUCCUGGAAUGGAGCGUCAUAGAGGGUGAGAAUCCCGUCUUUGACACGGACUGCCAGGGCUUUGUGAUGCGCUCUCAAAGAGUCGAGUUGUUUGGGAAUGCAGCUCAAAAUGGGUGGUAAAUUCCAUCUAAAGCUAAAUAUUGGCGAGAGACCGAUAGCGAACAAGUACCGUGAGGGAAAGAUGAAAAGAACUUUGGAAAGAGAGUUAAACAGUACGUGAAAUUGCUGAAAGGGAAACGCUUGAAGUCAGUCGCAUUGUGUGGGAAUCAACCUUGCUUUUGCUGGGCGUAUUUUCCAUAUGAUGGGUCAGCAUCAAUUUCGACCGUUGGAUAAAGUUCAAGGGAAUGUGGCAUCUUCGGAUGUGUUAUAGCCCUUGGUUGUAUACAACGAUUGGGAUUGAGGAACUCANCACGCCGAAAGGCCGGGUCUCGUACC